AGCUCAAGGAUUACUAGCCCUAGGGCUCUAUACGCUAUACUGAGAUACACUCUUUUAUGAUGAAAGAUCAAUAAGCUGAGAGCU
Molecule: small nucleolar RNA, 84 nt
Organism: Cryptomeria japonica (Japanese cedar)
Lineage: Eukaryota; Viridiplantae; Streptophyta; Pinopsida; Cupressales; Cupressaceae
Product: small nucleolar RNA U54
Exons: 1
Source: RefSeq, a predicted model, not a curated record